RNAcentral lists this ribosomal RNA (882 nucleotides) under uncultured Bacillota bacterium. RNAcentral's name for it is "bacterial SSU rRNA". It matches the Rfam family "Bacterial small subunit ribosomal RNA", at positions 485 to 1397 of the family's 1533-position model. The record is from RNAcentral. Lineage: Bacteria; Bacillati; Bacillota.
AGAAAGCCCCGGCUAACUACGUGCCAGCAGCCGCGGUAAUACUAGGGGGCGAGCGUUAUCCGGAUUUAUUGGGCGUAAAGUGUGCGUAGGCGGUUUAUUAAGCUAAGAUUAAAGCCCGAGGCUCAACCUCGGUUCGUUUAGAAACUGGUAGACUUGAGUGUGUAGAGGCAAGUGGAAUUUCUAGUGUAGCGGUUAAAUGCGUAGAUAUUAGAAGGAACACCAUGGCGAAGGCGGCUUGCUGGGCCAUUACUGACGCUGAGGCACGAAAGCGUGGGGAGCAAAAGGAUUAGAUACCCUAGUAGUCCACGCCGUAAACGAUGAGUACUAAGUGUCGGGAAACCGUGCUGAAGUUAACACAUUAAGUACUCCGCCUGAGUAGUACGGUCGCAAGGCUGAAACUCAAGGAAUUGACGGGCACCCGCACAAGCGGUGGAGCAUGCUGUUUAAUUCGGAGAUACGCGAGAACCUUACCUAGACUUGACAUCCCGAGCAAUGCUAUAGAAAUAUAGCGGAGGUUACCUCGUGACAGGUGGUGCAUGGUUGUCGUCAGCUCGUGUCGUGAGAUGUUCGGUUAAGUCCGAUACGAGCGCAACCCUCGUCUUUAGUUACUAACAGUUCGGCUGAGGACUCUAAAGAUACUGCGGUAAUAAACCGGAGGAAGGUGGGGAUGACGUCAAAUCAUCAUGCCCCCUACGUCUAGGGUACAGGCGUGCUACAAUGGCUGGUACAAAGAGUCGCAAUACCGUGAGGUGGAGCUAAUCUCAAAGCCAGUCUCAGUUCGGAUUGAAGUCUGCAACUCGACUUCAUGAAGCUGGAAUCGCUGUAAUCCUGAAUCAGAAUGUCAGGGUGAAUACGUUCCCGGGUGUUGCACACACCGCCCGU